CACAGGUGCCAGCAGGCUUAGGUGCACUGCAUUUGUGCUCUCAGUGUGAGUGUUAACACCACGAGGUUUCCAUCUUUAUUCUGUCUUUGCAAAUCUGCUUCUUUAUGCUGCACGUUCUCAUCACAGAUGGUCUCACUGUCCUUGCCCACCACUACUGGCCCUGAAAUUGCAAGGCCGUGUGGACCUGGGGCUAUGGAGAUUUAUCAAUAUUUAUUUUGGCCACCUGAUGCGAAG
Molecule: long non-coding RNA, 234 nt
Organism: Capra hircus (goat)
Lineage: Eukaryota; Metazoa; Chordata; Mammalia; Artiodactyla; Bovidae
Exons: 3
Source: RefSeq, a predicted model, not a curated record